Molecule: long non-coding RNA, 2363 nt
Organism: Alligator mississippiensis (American alligator)
Lineage: Eukaryota; Metazoa; Chordata; Crocodylia; Alligatoridae
Exons: 2
Source: RefSeq, a predicted model, not a curated record
GCCCAGCCCCAGCCGCAAGUCCUGCCAGGGCAGUGCUGGCUGGGGGCAGGGAGUUGGAUGGAGGCGUGGGCAGGUGGCUGGCUUGGGGGCUCCUCCAUGAUGCUGAAACCCCAGCCUGAGGGAGCUGCGGGAGAUGGGGCACCUGCCCUGCAGAUUUGCAUGUGGGGUAGAGGCAGUGUGCACGCUGUUAGUGUGGCUCUGUGCCUGUGGUCUGUGCUGGGACCCUGCCCAUCCUUCUGGGCAGGGUGCAAGGCCCCCGGAGCAAAGGUGAUGGUGCGAAGUGACUCCUCAGAAAGCCCAGUCUGAGCCCUCAUUUGAAAGGCUCUGUGUCUGAAGCAAGGCACGGGGUGGGCUGGGAAAAGCCUUGGGCUGCCUUUCCAUAGGGCAAGUGUCUUCUGACUUUGCCCAGGGUUCCGUGUGGUCGGAAAAGUGCAGGCACCCAGUUUGUGUAAAGGGGAGCCUGCGACCGAGAGACCAGACUAAGAAGGCAAGCGGCCAGGAGGUGGGAUCAGGUUUCAUCGUCGAUGCUGUCCCUCGCCUGUGCUGUUGGCCUGGGUGCAGCUCUGCCACGAGUGAUCUUUUCUGGGACCCGCCAAACGGGGCAGCCUUUUGGCAUGAAGCCCAAGACACAGGUGGGGGCUCUGGGUGCCACAGCAAGGGGCCGUGUCCCUGACAGUGAAUCUUUGAGCGGGUCUCUGCUGAAAUGCUACUGCACGAGGUAUGUACCAGGCGACUGAGGCCCCAAAGCAUGCCUCCUGGCCAGGCGGAUGCCUCUCAGAGGACUCCUCGUCCCCAAAGGUAACGGGCAAUCUGCAGGUUGGUGAGAGAGCUGCUGGCAGCAGGCACGUAGCAGGGAAUGGGGACAGGUGGCGGGAGAGGCACGCUGGCCUCUGCCUGCAGUCUCUGGGUAGGGGUGUGAGCUUCGUGGAGAUCAGUGAGGCGGCUGUCCCAAGAAUGGAUUCUGGUCGGUGUCCGGAUACAUGUAAACCUGUGCGUUGUCAUGUGCCUGUGGGGUCAGAGGGUGGUGGUAGAGGUGCACAGGGGAGAGGCUCAGCCGCACCUCGGCCUGGCCAGCCGGGCUGGCCUGAUGUGGCAGCUGCAAGCGGAAGCUGCGCGUGAGGAAGACGGGUCUGGCCAAGGUAUCGUGGCUCUGUCCCCCAUCACUGGCAGCGGCCGGCAGCCAGAUCAUUCCAGUCUCGUGGUGCUUAGGGUUGACAGGGACCUUGCUGGAUCGUCAAAUCUGACCUGAUGCCCUGGGCAGGAGCAGAUGCUGGGGUCCUGUCAUCCAGGCCAACUCUGUCUAGCCUCCUCUCCGAGACCUGCAAGGUAAGAGAGCGCCGCCUGCCUUGGGAGCCCAUUCUGGAGCCUGGCCAUCCUAACGGUAAAGUCCCGUCUCCUGACGUCCAUCCUAGAUUCAUAGAUUCAUAGAAGUAGGGUCGGAAGGGAUCUUGUCUAUCAUCAAGUCUGACCCCCUGCCCUAGGCAGGACAGGAAACCUGGCUCAAAUGACCCCAACCAGGUAGACGUCAAGCCUCCUUGAAAGACCCCCAGGGUAGGAGCUGUCACCGCUUCCCUUGGCAGUCGGUUCCAGAUCCUAGUCACCCUGAUUGUGAAGUAGGGCCUUUGGAAGUCUAGUCUAAACCUACUCGCUAACAAUUUGUGGCUGUUUUUCCUUGUUAUGGGGCGGGAGAAGUGCUAGGGAGAACUGGGUCUCUGUCAAAGCCUGCUGGUCCCCCCCUGGGGAGCUUAUAGAUGGGCACCAGGCCCCCCUCAGCCUUCUCUGGUGUAGGCUGAACAGGUUCAGGUCCCGUAGCCUCUCUUUGUACGGUCUGCCACGCUGCCCCGGAUCAUGUGGGUGGCCCUCCUCUGGACCGUCUCGAUGCUGUCGACAUCUCUCCUGCAGUGCAGCACCCAGAAGUGGACGCGGUACUCCUGCUGCAGCCUGACCAGUGUCGCAUAGAGGAGGAGGAUCGCGUCCUUGGACCUGCUUAUGAUGCAUCUGCAGGUUCAUGACAAGAGGUGAUGCCGACUUUGAGAGCCUUGUUAGCCGCUGUGUGAAGAACAUUCCCCAGCCUACGCUUGCCACCCCUGCAUCUGGAUUGCCGAGCGAGAUGUCGAACGGUACGGGCCCCAGGCCUGAGGCCUCGGGACCUCCCUCAAGCAGAUCUGCUGACCAGGGUGUCCCUGAGAGGGGUGUGGCCCUCACCCUCACCACCCACUCAUUUACUCCAAGCCCAAUGAACAGAUGUCUUCUUUAUUAUAUGUAUCACUAUAUACAGGAAGAGAGAGAGAUUAAUUUAAAAAGGCGUAUAUACAUAUAUAUGUUAUUAAUAGAGAAUAAUAAAACCAAUAAUUUGAAUACAA